RNAcentral lists this ribosomal RNA (194 nucleotides) under Rossellomorea marisflavi. Its description in RNAcentral is "Bacillus marisflavi partial 16S ribosomal RNA". It matches the Rfam family "Bacterial small subunit ribosomal RNA", at positions 1 to 191 of the family's 1533-position model. Lineage: Bacteria; Bacillati; Bacillota; Bacilli; Caryophanales; Bacillaceae. The record is from RNAcentral.
UUUAUGGAGAGUUUGAUCCUGGCUCAGGACGAACGCUGGCGGCGUGCCUAAUACAUGCAAGUCGAGCGGAUCGAUGGGAGCUUGCUCCCUGAGAUCAGCGGCGGACGGGUGAGUAACACGUGGGUAACCUGCCUGUAAGACUGGGAUAACUCCGGGAAACCGGGGCUAAUACCGGAUAACACCUACCCCCGCAU